Molecule: long non-coding RNA, 248 nt
Filed under: Lathyrus oleraceus (garden pea)
Lineage: Eukaryota; Viridiplantae; Streptophyta; Magnoliopsida; Fabales; Fabaceae
Description: Pisum sativum (pea) long non-coding RNA (PSAT_LNC017051)
Source: RNAcentral
AACUUCUUAGGAGGGUCCACCUCUUGAAAUCAUAUAGAAGAUGAUUCAAGUGGGUCCUUAGGAAUAGGCUACAAAUGAGCAAUAAUAUGAACAUAAUAACAGAUGAAAGUCAAUAAAAGCGGAUACUGGAUGCCACUCAAUGGUCUUAUACUUGUCUCCUAAAACAAGUAAGGAUAUCAGAAGCCACUCUAUGGACUUACACUAAUCUCCAUCAGAAUAAAACAAAAAAACAAAACAGGGAAGUCAAC